GAUGAACGCUGGCGGCGUGCCUAAUACAUGCAAGUCGAGCGAACAGACGAGGAGCUUGCUCCUCUGACGUUAGCGGCGGACGGGUGAGUAACACGUGGAUAACCUACCUAUAAGACUGGGAUAACUUCGGGAAACCGGAGCUAAUACCGGAUAAUAUAUUGAACCGCAUGGUUCAAUAGUGAAAGACGGUUUUGCUGUCACUUAUAGAUGGAUCCGCGCCGCAUUAGCUAGUUGGUAAGGUAACGGCUUACCAAGGCGACGAUGCGUAGCCGACCUGGGAGGGUGAUCGGCCACACUGGAACUGAGACACGGUCCAGACUCCUACGGGAGGCAGCAGUAGGGAAUCUUCCGCAAUGGGCGAAAGCCUGACGGAGCAACGCCGCGUGAGUGAUGAAGGUCUUCGGAUCGUAAAACUCUGUUAUUAGGGAAGAGCAAAUGUGUAAGUAACUAUGCACGUCUUGACGGUACCUAAUCAGAAAGCCACGGCUAACUACGUG
This 497-nucleotide ribosomal RNA is filed under the name uncultured bacterium. RNAcentral describes it as "partial 16S ribosomal RNA". It matches the Rfam family "Bacterial small subunit ribosomal RNA", at positions 28 to 507 of the family's 1533-position model. The record is from RNAcentral.